UCCUGGCCUGGAUACGAGGACAAGGGCCAGGAUUCGACAUUGAACAACAUUAGGAGGGCACAGGGAAUUGAAGAUAUGAGUAGAGAUUCGAUGGUAGGCACCCACACAAGGAUUCACGCAGCGAUUGUCCUUGCACUGCAGAUCGCCGCGACAGUCGACGUUGUCUAGGCACUCGCCUCUGUUGCAAUGGGUGAGCGGAUUGCCACUGAAUCCCGGUGGGCAGGAGCAGACUGGUCGUCCGCCGGCUGCCUCCUGGCAGACGGCGUUCACCCCGCAAGGAUUCCCGCUGCAUCCGUAGGACUGGGCGGCUGUUAGGGAAGAAGGACAUAAAGGAUACUCUACAGGUGAUGCAUGGUGCAAGGAUCUAAGCUACGCGUGACGUGACGUGUGACGUGAUACGAGACACUUUCAUUUACGUGGUGGUUUUGGGUGGUUAAGCUGUAACUACUAUAACUAUCUACCAGCGGUUAGGCGUGUUGGUGGCGGUGGCCGGGUCCGGGUGUGGGCGGACUCAGCCCCUCCACUUGCAAGAAAUAAACCGUAUACUUCUGUAUGUGCAUCAGUGCGGUGUUACGUAUAAU
This 581-nucleotide small RNA is filed under the name Drosophila ananassae. Its description in RNAcentral is "GF27000". The record is from RNAcentral. Lineage: Eukaryota; Metazoa; Arthropoda; Insecta; Diptera; Drosophilidae.